AUAAAGAUCCCAGACACCAUCAAAGCUGUUACAGGUCUCCAGGAAUAUCUCUAUUUCAGUCUCAGAUGUGAUGACAUCUAAGCACUGGCUGGGAACCACUCUUCUCAUCAGUACAUACCAUCAGACCCUGGAAUAAAUCUGUGGCCAGAGUUCAGCUUGGAUGGUGAAGCUGAAGCUACAGAGAUAAGAAAGUGCCUGAAAUGUCUCCAUGUACCUGCACUAUGGUCAUGGAAAGCAUGGAAAUUAUGGCAGUAGUGGAUUCCCAGCCUUCAGACAUUUGCUGCAUUCUCCUUGUGCUGAUCUUAUGUAUCUUAGCCCAGUAUUAAAUCUGACUGCCUGCAAAA
This is a long non-coding RNA of Cyanistes caeruleus (blue tit), 344 nucleotides long. RefSeq lists it as uncharacterized. Lineage: Eukaryota; Metazoa; Chordata; Aves; Passeriformes; Paridae. The record is from RefSeq and is a predicted model, not a curated record.